AGAGGAAUAGCUGGGUCAAAUAGUGGUUCCAUUCCCAGAUUUCCAAGGAAUCUCCAUACUGCUUUCCAUAUUGGCUGCACCAAUUUGCAGUCCCACCAGCAAU
Molecule: microRNA precursor, 103 nt
Filed under: Marmota monax (woodchuck)
Lineage: Eukaryota; Metazoa; Chordata; Mammalia; Rodentia; Sciuridae
Source: RNAcentral